CGAACGCUGGCGGCGUGCUUAACACAUGCAAGUCGAACGGAAAGGCCCUGCUUUUGUGGGGUGCUCGAGUGGCGAACGGGUGAGUAACACGUGAGUAACCUGCCCUUGACUUUGGGAUAACUUCAGGAAACUGGGGCUAAUACCGGAUAGGAGCUCCUGCUGCAUGGUGGGGGUUGGAAAGUUUCGGCGGUUGGGGAUGGACUCGCGGCUUAUCAGCUUGUUGGUGGGGUAGUGGCUUACCAAGGCUUUGACGGGUAGCCGGCCUGAGAAGGUGACCGGCCACAUUGGGACUGAGAUACGGCCCAGACUCCUACGGGAGGCAGCAGUGGGGAAUAAUGCACAAUGGGCGGAAGCCUGAUGCAGCAACGCCGCGUGCGGGAUGACGGCCUUCGGGUUGUAAACCGCUUUCGCCUGUGACGAAGCGUGAGUGACGGUAAUGGGUAAAGAAGCACGGGCUAACUACGUG
RNAcentral lists this ribosomal RNA (466 nucleotides) under uncultured bacterium. Its description in RNAcentral is "partial 16S ribosomal RNA". It matches the Rfam family "Bacterial small subunit ribosomal RNA", at positions 30 to 507 of the family's 1533-position model. The record is from RNAcentral.